UUGUAGGACCUAUUUUAGGCUGGAAUUGAGGAUGAAUUGGAAGAAAAAAAUGAGAGACCCGAGAGAAAGAGAGAAGGGAAAUUUGUGGGCUUCUUGAUAAAAUUUGGGUUGUAUUCUUCAAAUUUACUGAUUGGAUGCCCAAAAGAUGAAAGGAGAGUCAUCCAAAGACGUGGAAAGCUCAAAGUUAGAGGUGGAAUUCAGACAAGAAACAAGAAUUUGGAAAGUUGGGGUGUUCGUGGGUUUAAAAAGAGGAAGAACAAGUUUUCGAAUUAGAGCCUUUCUUAUGAAGAAAAAUUGGGCAAAAUGGUAUGAAAUUAAAGAAGUAAAGAACAAGCUAGUGGGGGGUUUGAUUUGAAUAAUCGUGGCUGGAAAAGCAAGGAAAGCGAAGUAAAAUAGUGGCGGUCGGAGUAGACGGCAAGCAUGGGAAACUUGGGAUUUUUUUUUACCAAUUCUAAGAUUUAGAGGCUAAUUUGAAACUCCAAGUUUAAAGGUACCUGUGGAGAUUUUGAUCGAUUUCGGAUAAUUUAGGGCGAUUCGAGGCAGCUUGAGGUAAGAUAGUUUAAGAGAUGAGUAAAAGGUUUGUAUAAUUUAAUUAGAAUGGGUAUGACCGAAAUGAGAGAAAUUGGUCACCGAAAGGUCGUCGGAAAACUACCGAAAUCUGAAAAAUUUUGGACUGAAGGUUGAAGAAAGAGUUGACUUUUAUAGUUGAUUUUUGUCUGACAUCUAUUGUCCAUUAUUAAAAGCUGGAAAAUCUAAUUUUAAGUUAAUUAAAGUGCUUUUAAGCAUGAUUAAAGGUCAAAUUGGAAUUGUUAUGAUACUUUAAACCAAAAAUUAGAAGAAUUUGGGAUCCUAUGCCAUAUUGAAGUUGAUUAAGGGGCUAUUUUAAAGUAAACCUUAAUUAGGGUUAGUGAAAAAAUUAGGUAAAAUUGGACAAAAUUAAGAUUAGUUAAAGUGUUCCUAAUCUUAAUUUAGUUCUAAUGGAUACCAAUAAGAUGUUUUGACCUUGAGAUUGAAUUAAUUUGGAGUCUUAAGUCAAUUUUAAGAUAAAUUAAGGAUUAAAGUGUAAGGUGAAACCUUAAAAUAGGAUGGCAUCAGGAGAAAUUAAGUAUACUCAAGUUUGAUUGAAGUCCUAAUUGAUAUCAUUAAGAUAUAUUGAGCUUAACUUGGAUUAAUUUUGAGGAAAUUAAGGUAAUUUAAAUAAUUAAAAGGACUUAAUUGUGAGUAAACUCUAAAUUGAGUAAAAUUAUAGUUAAAUUGAAAGGGAAACCCUAAAAUUAAAUGAAAAUUGAAGUGAAAUUAGUUCUUGUUGAGGAUUGGUUUUGGGAUCUUAAGUUAAUUUUAACGUAAUUAAAGGACAAAAUUGCAAAAUAAACUAUAAAUUGGAUCAAAUUAGGAUUUUGGGGAAAGUAUAAGUGAAAUUAUUUAUUUUUUAAGGUUAAUUAUGAAGUAAUUUAAUUAUGGUCAUAUGGAGGAUAACUAGGAGAUUAUCAAUAUACGAAUAAACAAGAACCAGAGGAACUAGGAAUUCGAGGAGAAGACGAUUAACAGUGAAUGACUUUAUUUUAAGUAUUUCGAUAUAAAAAUAUACACAUGUGAUAGUAUGCUAUGAUUUAUGAAAUGUGUUGGCAUGAUAUGUUUUACUUGACUAUUAUUUCAGAAAUGCUUUGAAUCAUGAUUUUUGAAUUUUCACUGAUUUUAUAUAAACUGGGGUUAUAAAAAUGUAGUAUGGAACUUGAUUUUACUUUAUUAUAAUUUGUUUGGUUUUGUAAGAAAAUCUUUUGAUGGUGGAAUAAAUGAUGUUGAACGGUUUGUGAAAGUGGUUUCAAACUUCUAAUUCUUGUACCCGAGAGAUGGUUCUUUCCAAGCUACUUCAAUGUGUUUCAGUAGCACCUCUCAGGCGAUCAGGGGGUUACCAGGGUGAAAUGUGGUCAGAAUAUAUCAGAUAGUCUAAAGAAACCUUCACCUAUUGUGCCACCCAGGCUAUCGGAGGGUUACCGGGGUCAGAUGUGGCUAGUGUAUACCGGAAAGUCCAAAGGAACCUGGGCCUGUGGUGUAUAUCCAUAUCUAGCCAUGAGGAAAUUUUGUGUGCACGUAUGACCUUAUUAUUUGGUUUACACUACAAGGGACAUUCCUUGUCCAGAGUAACCCGGUACUGUAAACGAGUAUUUGGGUACAGAGUUGGUGCAGUUGUCUGAUAACUCCUAAUGCUUUAUAAUGUGCUUUCUAUGAAGUAUGAUCAUGUCAUUAUUUGAAUAA
Long non-coding RNA from Benincasa hispida (wax gourd), 2256 nucleotides. RefSeq lists it as uncharacterized. Lineage: Eukaryota; Viridiplantae; Streptophyta; Magnoliopsida; Cucurbitales; Cucurbitaceae. The record is from RefSeq and is a predicted model, not a curated record.